This 460-nucleotide ribosomal RNA is filed under the name uncultured bacterium. RNAcentral's name for it is "partial 16S ribosomal RNA". It matches the Rfam family "Bacterial small subunit ribosomal RNA", at positions 338 to 795 of the family's 1533-position model. The record is from RNAcentral.
CCUACGGGGAGCAGCAGUGAGGAAUAUUGGUCAAUGGACGAGAGUCUGAACCAGCCAAGUAGCGUGAAGGAUGACUGCCCUAUGGGUUGUAAACUUCUUUUAUAAAGGAAUAAAACGAGGCACGUGUGCCUUUUUGCAUGUACUUUAUGAAUUAGGAUCGGCUAACUCCGCUCCAGCAGCCGCGGUAAUACGGAGGAUCCGACCGUUAGUCUGAUUUAUUUGGUUUAAAGGGGGCGUCGAUGGGUUGUUAAGUCAGUUGUGAAAGUUUGCGGCUCAACCGUAAAAUUGCAAUUGAUACUGGCAGUCUAGAGUACAGUUGAGGUAGGCGGAAUUCGUGGUGUAGCGGUGAAAUGCUUAGAUAUCACGAAGAACCCCGAUUGCGAAGGCAGCUUACUAAACUGUGACUGACAUUGAUGCUCGAAAGUGUGGGUAGCAAACAGGAUUAGAUACCCCAGUAGUC